GCUUAGAGAGGGGUCAAUGUCCUAUCAGCUAGUUGGUAAGGUAAUGGCUUACCAAGGCUAAGACGGGUAGCCGGCCUGAGAGGGUGGUCGGCCACACUGGGACUGAGACACUGCCCAGACUCCUACGGGAGGCUGCAGUCGAGAAUCUUUCGCAAUGCCCGAAAGGGUGACGAAGCGACGCCGCGUGUGGGAAGAAGGCCUUCGGGUUGUAAACCACUGUCGGGAGUUAAGGAAUGUAAGGGUGUUAAUAGCAUCCUUACUUGACUAAGGCUCCGGAGGAAGCCACGGCUAACUCUGUGCCAGCAGCCGCGGUAAUACAGAGGCGGCAAGCGUUGUUCGGAAUUAUUGGGCGUAAAGAGCACGUAGGCGGCCUUGUAAGUCAGUUGUGAAAGCCUUCUGCUUAACGGAAGAACAGCAUCUGAUACUGCAAGGCUAGAGUACGGAAGGG
Molecule: ribosomal RNA, 448 nt
Filed under: uncultured Planctomycetota bacterium
Lineage: Bacteria; Pseudomonadati; Planctomycetota
Description: bacterial SSU rRNA
Rfam family: Bacterial small subunit ribosomal RNA
Source: RNAcentral